This 432-nucleotide unclassified non-coding RNA is filed under the name soil metagenome. Its description in RNAcentral is "partial contains 5.8S ribosomal RNA, internal transcribed spacer 2, and large subunit ribosomal RNA". The stretch from base 1 to 120 matches the Rfam family "5.8S ribosomal RNA", at positions 35 to 154 of the family's 154-position model. The record is from RNAcentral.
GAUGAAGAACGUAGCGAAAUGCGAUACGUAAUGUGAAUUGCAGAAUUCAGUGAAUCAUCGAAUCUUUGAACGCAUAUUGCGCUCUCUGGUAUUCCGGAGAGCAUGCUUGUUUGAGUAUCAGUAAACACCUCAACUUCCAUAUCUUUUUUGAAAUGGGAGUUGGACUUGAGUGAUCCCAACGCUUUUCCUCACCGAAAAGUGGCGGGUUACUUGAAAUGCAGGUGCAGCUGGACUUUUCUCUGAGCUAUAAGCAUAUCUAUUUAGUCUGCCUAAAAACAGAUUAUUACCUUUGCUGCAGCUAACAUAAAGGAGAUUAGUUCUUGUACUGACUGAUGCAGGAUUCACAAAGACAGGCUUCGGCCGACUUUGUAAACUCGAUCUCAAAUCAAGUAAGACUACCCGCUGAACUUAAGCAUAUCAAUAAGCGGAGGA